RNAcentral lists this unclassified non-coding RNA (334 nucleotides) under soil metagenome. RNAcentral's name for it is "partial contains 5.8S ribosomal RNA, internal transcribed spacer 2, and large subunit ribosomal RNA". The stretch from base 1 to 120 matches the Rfam family "5.8S ribosomal RNA", at positions 35 to 154 of the family's 154-position model. The record is from RNAcentral.
GAUGAAGAACGUAGCGAAAUGCGAUAAGUAAUGUGAAUUGCAGAAUUCAGUGAAUCAUCGAAUCUUUGAACGCACAUUGCGCCCGCCAGUAUUCUGGCGGGCAUGCCUGUUCGAGCGUUAUUUCAACCAUCAAGCCCUGCUUGCGUUGGGGUCCUGCGGCUGCCCGCAGGCCCUGAAAACCAGUGGCGGGCUCGCUAGUCACACCGAGCGCAGUAAUACAUCUCGCUUUGGGCGUGCGGCGGGUUCUUGCCGUUAAACACCCCCUUUUUACCAAGGUUGACCUCGGAUCAGGUAGGAAUACCCGCUGAACUUAAGCAUAUCAAUAAGCGGAGGA